This 497-nucleotide ribosomal RNA is filed under the name uncultured bacterium. RNAcentral's name for it is "partial 16S ribosomal RNA". It matches the Rfam family "Bacterial small subunit ribosomal RNA", at positions 28 to 507 of the family's 1533-position model. The record is from RNAcentral.
GAUGAACGCUGGCGGCGGGCCUAAUACAUGCAAGUCGAGCGAACAGACGAGGAUCUUGCUUCUCUUACGUUAGCGGCGGACGGGUGAGUAACACGUGGAUAACCUACCUAUAAGACUGGGAUAACUUCGCGAAACCGGAUCUAAUACCGGAUAACAUGGUGAACGGGAUGGUUCAUCAGUGAAAGACCGUCUUGCUGUCACUUAGAGAUGGUUCCGCGCCGCAUUAGCUAGUUGGUAAGGUAACGGCUUACCAAGGCAACGAUGCGUAGCUGACCUGAGAGGGUGAUCAGCCACACUGGAACUGAGACACGGUCCAGACUCCUACGGGAGGCAGCAGUAGGGAAUCUUCCGCAAUGGGCGAAAGCCUGACGGAGCCACGCCGCGUGAGUGAAGAAGGUCUUCGGAUCGUAAAACUCUGUUAUUAGGGAAGAACAACUGUGUAAGUAACUAUGCACGUCUUGACGGUACCUACUCAGAAAGCCACGGCUAACUACGUG